Molecule: transfer RNA, 92 nt
Filed under: Sphingobacterium griseoflavum
Lineage: Bacteria; Pseudomonadati; Bacteroidota; Sphingobacteriia; Sphingobacteriales; Sphingobacteriaceae
Description: tRNA-Arg
Source: RNAcentral
CCAUUAUUUAGGGAUAGUCCCAAGGCGUCUUGCGGCGACUUCAGGUGAAGCAGCGGGAGUGCUUUUUCGUUGAUCAUGGCCUCGGUAAUGGA